Lipotes vexillifer (Yangtze River dolphin) is the source of this 570-nucleotide RNA transcript. It is a transcript of the gene named mitotic-spindle organizing protein 2 pseudogene, with no coding region annotated. The transcript has a single exon. The record is from RefSeq and is a predicted model, not a curated record. Lineage: Eukaryota; Metazoa; Chordata; Mammalia; Artiodactyla; Lipotidae.
AUGGGAAUAGGGUUUUUUAAAGAAGCCAAGAAUGCGGACACGCAUCCUCCGCCGUCCUCAGAUGGCGGCGCGAGCGCGGGCGCGGGCGCGAGCGCGGGCGCGGGCGCGGGCGCGGGGCCCGGGCGGGGCGCGCCCCCGGGGCUGGAGGCGGGCCUGCAGAAGAUGGCGCUGCGGCGGGAGAAGGUGCUGGGCGCCGAGGAGAUGGAGCUGUUCAAGCUGGCGCAGGAGGCGGGCGGCGCCAUGGACCCCGACGUGUGCAAGAUCCUGGUGGACCUGCUGAAGCUGAACGUGGUGCCCCUCGCCGUCUUCCAGAUGCUCAGUGCAUGUGCGCCGGGCAGAGGCUGGCGAGCGAGCCCCAGGACCCCGCGGCCGCGCCCCUGGCCACGCCCGGCGUGCCUGAGACCCGAGGGAGAAACAAAGGCAGAGGUGCCCUCGGCCGGCGGAGGCCCGGCGCUGCCAGAACGCGGUGCCCGGGAAGGAUCCAGCCAGAGGAUGCCCCGCCAACCCAGCGCCACCAGGCUGCCCAAGCGGGGCAGGCCGGGGAAGAGCCCCACGCGGAGCAGCACCUGA